This 468-nucleotide ribosomal RNA is filed under the name uncultured bacterium. RNAcentral's name for it is "partial 16S ribosomal RNA". It matches the Rfam family "Bacterial small subunit ribosomal RNA", at positions 28 to 507 of the family's 1533-position model. The record is from RNAcentral.
GACGAACGCUGGCGGCGUGCUUAACACAUGCAAGUCGAACGGAAAGGCCCUGCUUUUGUGGGGUGCUCGAGUGGCGAACGGGUGAGUAACACGUGAGUAACCUGCCCUUGACUUUGGGAUAACUUCAGGAAACUGGGGCUAAUACCGGAUAGGAGCUCCUGCUGCAUGGUGGGGGUUGGAAGGUUUCGGCGGUUGGGGAUGGACUCGCGGCUUAUCAGCUUGUUGGUGGGGUAGUGGCUUACCAAGGCUUUGACGGGUAGCCGGCCUGAGAGGGUGACCGGCCACAUUGGGACUGAGAUACGGCCCAGACUCCUACGGGAGGCAGCAGUGGGGAAUAGUGCACAAUGGGCGGAAGCCUGAUGCAGCAACGCCGCGUGCGGGAUGACGGCCUUCGGGUUGUAAACCGCUUUCGCCUGUGACGAAGCGUGAGUGACGGUAAUGGGUAAAGAAGCACCGGCUAGCUACGUG